This 310-nucleotide unclassified non-coding RNA is filed under the name Hevea brasiliensis (rubber tree). Lineage: Eukaryota; Viridiplantae; Streptophyta; Magnoliopsida; Malpighiales; Euphorbiaceae. The record is from RNAcentral.
AAUUUAUGCUGCGAAAGAAAAGCCUAGAAAAACAUUAAAAAAAUGCAUUGAUUCUAUGAAAAUCAAGUUUUCAAAGAAUAGUGCUAUCCACAUGUUAAAUUGAUUGACAGCAGUUCUCUUAUUAAAAAACUAAACGAGCAUUAUAGCAUAUUUAAAAAUAUAAACGCAAUAAAUGGAAGCUUUGAGAUUGUUAAAGAUCUUAUUUACAAUCAAAGUUUAUCUUUCUUAGAAAUCCUAGAAAUUGAGUGUAGGUAGCAUCUGGCACAUAUAUUUCCAUUCCUAUCACACACUCCAAAAAUGGGUCAAAAAG